This is a non-coding RNA of Microcebus murinus (gray mouse lemur), 312 nucleotides long. The record is from RefSeq and is a predicted model, not a curated record. Lineage: Eukaryota; Metazoa; Chordata; Mammalia; Primates; Cheirogaleidae.
GAACCAUAAUGUUAGUAACUGACAUGGUGUCAAUGACGGGGACUACCUGUAUCGGGUGCGUCCUGUCGCCAGGGUGACUCUGGAGGACCCCUCAACUGCCCUGCGACAGAUGGCACCUGGGAGGUCCAUGGCGUGACCAGCUUUGUUUCCUCCCGAGGCUGCAACACCCUCAAAAAGCCCACGGUGUUCACGCGAGUGUCGGCCUUCAUUGACUGGAUCGAGGAGACCAUAGCGAGCCACUAGGAGCCAGGCCGCCUGGCAGUGUGACCCCGCAUCCUUCAGAAAGAAUAAAGAUCUCUUGAAAAGUUGCAA